CCGAGUUUACAACUCCCAAACCCCUGUGAACAUACCUUUAUGCUGCCUCGGCGGAUCAGCCCGCGCCCCGUAAAACGGGACGGCCCGCCGCAGGAAACCCUAAACUCUGUUUUUAGUGGAACUUCUGAGUAUAAAAAACAAAUAAAUCA
This 149-nucleotide unclassified non-coding RNA is filed under the name soil metagenome. Its description in RNAcentral is "partial internal transcribed spacer 1". The record is from RNAcentral.